RNAcentral lists this ribosomal RNA (441 nucleotides) under uncultured bacterium. RNAcentral describes it as "partial 16S ribosomal RNA". It matches the Rfam family "Bacterial small subunit ribosomal RNA", at positions 338 to 795 of the family's 1533-position model. The record is from RNAcentral.
CCUACGGUGGGCAGCAGUGGGGAAUAUUGCACAAUGGGGGAAACCCUGAUGCAGCGACGCCGCGUGAGUGAAGAAGUAUUUCGGUAUGUAAAGCUCUAUCAGCAGGAACGAGACAAGACGGUACCUGACUAAUAAGCCCCGGCUAACUACGUGCCAGCAGCCGCGGUAAUACGUAGGGGGCAAGCGUUAUCCGGAAUCACUGGGUGUAAAGGGAGCGUAGACGGCUGUGCAAGCCUGAAGUGAAAGGCGGGGGCCCAACCCCUGGACUGCUUUGGGAACUGUACGGCUGGAGUGCAGGAGAGGUAAGUGGAAUUCCUAGUGUAGCGGUGAAAUGCGUAGAUAUUAGGAGGAACACCAGUGGCGAAGGCGGCUUACUGGACUGUAACUGACGUUGAGGCUCGAAAGCGUGGGGAGCAAACAGGAUUAGAUACCCUUGUAGUC